UAGUUGGAUGAUCUCCUCCUCGGUCAC
RNAcentral lists this small RNA (27 nucleotides) under Bombyx mori (domestic silkworm). RNAcentral describes it as "ovarian small RNA-23176". The record is from RNAcentral. Lineage: Eukaryota; Metazoa; Arthropoda; Insecta; Lepidoptera; Bombycidae.